This 475-nucleotide ribosomal RNA is filed under the name uncultured bacterium. Its description in RNAcentral is "partial 16S ribosomal RNA". It matches the Rfam family "Bacterial small subunit ribosomal RNA", at positions 28 to 523 of the family's 1533-position model. The record is from RNAcentral.
GGUGAACGCUGGCGGCGUGCUUAAGACAUGCAAGUCGAACGCAGUCUUCGGACUGAGUGGCGCACGGGUGAGUAACACGUAACUGACCUACCCCCAAGUCGCGGAUAACUGGCCGAAAGGUCAGCUAAUACGUGAUGUGAUGUCCCCUUUCUGGGGGGCCAUUAAAGGUUUACUGCUUGGGGAUGGGGUUGCGUUCCAUCAGCUAGUUGGCGGGGUAAGGGCCCACCAAGGCAACGACGGAUAGCCGGCCUGAGAGGGUGGCCGGCCACAGGGGCACUGAGACACGGGUCCCACUCCUACGGGAGGCAGCAGUUAGGAAUCUUCCACAAUGGGCGAAAGCCUGAUGGAGCGACGCCGCGUGAGGGAUGAAGGUUCUCGGAUCGUAAACCUCUGAAUCAGGGACGAAAGACGCGUAAGCGGGAUGACGGUACCUGAGUGAUAGCACCGGCUAACUCCGUGCCAGCCGCCGCGGUAA